This 68-nucleotide transfer RNA is filed under the name Marmota monax (woodchuck). Its description in RNAcentral is "tRNA.Ala". The stretch from base 5 to 65 matches the Rfam family "tRNA", at positions 6 to 65 of the family's 71-position model. From Rfam's summary of the family: Transfer RNA (tRNA) molecules are approximately 80 nucleotides in length. Lineage: Eukaryota; Metazoa; Chordata; Mammalia; Rodentia; Sciuridae. The record is from RNAcentral.
GGAUUGUGGCUCAGGGGUAGAGCUCUUGUCUUGCAAAUGUGAGGCACUGAGUUCAAUUCUCAGCACCA